Molecule: ribosomal RNA, 1402 nt
Filed under: uncultured bacterium
Lineage: Bacteria
Description: partial 16S ribosomal RNA
Rfam family: Bacterial small subunit ribosomal RNA
Source: RNAcentral
AGAGUUUGAUCCUGGCUCAGGAUGAACGCUAGCGACAGGCUUAACACAUGCAAGUCGAGGGGCAGCAGGGGAGUAGCAAUACUCCCGCUGGCGACCGGCGCACGGGUGAGUAACACGUAUGCAACCUGCCCUUGUCAGGGGGAUAAGCGGAAGAAAUUCCGUCUAAUACCGCAUAAUGCUGCGGGGAGACAUCUCCCUGCAGCCAAAGAUUUAUCGGACAAGGAUGGGCAUGCGGCGCAUUAGCUGGUUGGCGGGGUAACGGCCCACCAAGGCGACGAUGCGUAGGGGUUCUGAGAGGAAGGUCCCCCACACUGGUACUGAGACACGGACCAGACUCCUACGGGAGGCAGCAGUGAGGAAUAUUGGUCAAUGGCCGGGAGGCUGAACCAGCCAAGUCGCGUGAGGGAAGACGGUCCUAUGGAUUGUAAACCUCUUUUGUCAGGGAGCAAAAACUGCCACGCGUGGCAGGAUGAGAGUACCUGAAGAAAAAGCAUCGGCUAACUCCGUGCCAGCAGCCGCGGUAAUACGGAGGAUGCGAGCGUUAUCCGGAUUUAUUGGGUUUAAAGGGUGCGUAGGCGGACAGUUAAGUCAGCGGUAAAAUUGAGAGGCUCAACCUCUUCCCGCCGUUGAAACUGAUUGUCUUGAGUGGGCGAGAAGUAUGCGGAAUGCGUGGUGUAGCGGUGAAAUGCAUAGAUAUCACGCAGAACUCCGAUUGCGAAGGCAGCAUACCGGCGCCCAACUGACGCUGAAGCACGAAAGCGUGGGUAUCGAACAGGAUUAGAUACCCUGGUAGUCCACGCAGUAAACGAUGAAUACUAAUUGUUCGGGUCAAAUGAGAUCUGAGUGAUACAGCGAAAGCGUUAAGUAUUCCACCUGGGGAGUACGCCGGCAACGGUGAAACUCAAAGGAAUUGACGGGGGCCCGCACAAGCGGAGGAACAUUUGGUUUAAUUCGAUGAUACGCGAGGGACCUUACCCGGGCUCAAACGACACAGGAAUGAUCUGAGAAAUCAGGCAGUCCUCCGGGACCUGUGUCGAGGUGCUGCAUGGUUGUCGUCAGCUCGUGCCGUGAGGUGUCGGCUUAAGUGCCAUAACGAGCGCAACCCCCAUCGACAGUUGCCAGCAGGUGAAGCUGAGCACUCUGUCGAGACUGCCGGCGCAAGCUGUGAGGAAGGCGGGGAUGACGUCAAAUCAGCACGGCCCUUACGUCCGGGGCGACACACGUGUUACAAUGGCAGGUACAGCGGGAAGCCACCUGGCGACAGGGAGCGGAACCCGAAAGCCUGUCUCAGUUCGGAUUGGAGUCUGCAACUCGACUCCAUGAAGCUGGAUUCGCUAGUAAUCGCGCAUCAGCCACGGCGCGGUGAAUACGUUCCCGGGCCUUGUACUCACCGCCCGUCAAG